Molecule: ribosomal RNA, 423 nt
Filed under: Cylindroleberis sp. japan262
Lineage: Eukaryota; Metazoa; Arthropoda; Ostracoda; Myodocopida; Cylindroleberididae
Description: partial large subunit ribosomal RNA
Rfam family: Bacterial large subunit ribosomal RNA (bases 289-423)
Source: RNAcentral
UUUUAAUUGGGGACUGGUAUGAAUGGUAUUAUAAAGAAGAGACUGUUUAAGGACAGAGUUUAAAAUUGAUUAUCAAGUUAAAAGGCUUGAGUAACAUGAAGUGACAAGAAGACCCUAUGAGUUUUAUAGUUAGGAGAUGUAUCAAUAAAAUGGCGUGUUUGUUUUGCAUUAGGUUCUAAUUGUUUGACUGGGGCGGUUGGAAUAAUUAUCUUUUCUGGUUAUUACUAAAUUAGCAGAAAUAAUUUAUAGAUUAUAUCCUCAUUGGAAGGCAUUAUAAAUUACCUUAGGGAUAACAGCAUAAUCUUCUUUGAGAGACCUUAUUGACAAGAAGGUUUGUGACCUCGAUGUUGGAUUUGAAUAACUAUAUGGAGCAGAAUUUUUAUAAGUUGGUUUGUUCAACCAUUAAAUCUCAACAUGAUUUGA